CAGCGUUAUUGGAGAUUUACUGGGCCGUAAACCGCGUGCAGGCGGUUUGGUAAGUUGGGCGUGAAAGCUCCUUGAAAAAAAAGAAAGAGGCGUCCAAAACUACCAGACUACCUUUCCAUAAAAAGAAAACGGAAUUCCCGGUGUAGUGGUGAAAUGCGUAGAUAUCGGGAGGAACACCAGUGGCUUUCUUCUAUUUACUGGAUCGUUUCUGACGCUCAGACGCGAAAGCUAGGGUAGCAAACGGGAUUAGAGACCCCGGUAGUCCUAGCUGUAAACGAUGUGAACUUGGCGUUGGUGGGUUAAACUCCAUCAGUGCCGUAGCUAACGCGAUAAGUUCACCGCCUGGGGACUACGGCCGCAAGGUUAAAACUCAUAGGAAUUGACGGGGGCCCGCACAAGCAGCGGAGCGUGUGGUUUAUUUUUUUUUUUUACGAAGAACCUUACCCGGGCUUGACAUGUCGAUGAUCGACUGCAAAAGCAUUG
This 483-nucleotide ribosomal RNA is filed under the name uncultured bacterium. RNAcentral's name for it is "partial 16S ribosomal RNA". It matches the Rfam family "Bacterial small subunit ribosomal RNA", at positions 536 to 1012 of the family's 1533-position model. The record is from RNAcentral.